This 198-nucleotide ribosomal RNA is filed under the name Triticum aestivum (bread wheat). RNAcentral's name for it is "partial small subunit ribosomal RNA". The record is from RNAcentral. Lineage: Eukaryota; Viridiplantae; Streptophyta; Magnoliopsida; Poales; Poaceae.
AUGACAAUAAACAAAAGGCAGGAGCACUCUCCAAACAAGGUUGGACUAUAUCUACAUGAACAAGUCUUUACACAUGGACAUCUAUACGUACCAUUCUCAAGAGUCGGAAAAGGGGAUGGACUGCAAGUAAUGGUAAAUGAUAAAGAUAACAAUAAGGAUGUUGGGGUCAAGAACAUAAUCUACAAAGAAUUUUUCUAA